AACGCACCUUGCGCUCCUUGGUAUUCCGAGGAGCAUGCCUGUUUGAGUGUCAUUAAAUUCUCAACCUUUCCAGCUUUUGUGAGCUGUGAUAAGGCUUGGAUAUUGGGAGCUUGCGGGGCCUGUAGAAGGUCGGCUCUCCUGAAAUGCAUUAGCGGAACCGUUUGCAGUCCCGUCACUAGUGUGAUAAUUAUCUACACUGUGAUGACUGCUCUCUAGUUUGUUCAGCUGCUAAUUGUCCAUUACUGGACAACUCUUAAUGAACCUCUUGACCUCAAAUCAGGUAGGACUACCCGCUGAACUUAA
This 303-nucleotide unclassified non-coding RNA is filed under the name uncultured Agaricales. RNAcentral's name for it is "sequence contains 5.8S rRNA gene, ITS2, 28S rRNA gene". The stretch from base 1 to 52 matches the Rfam family "5.8S ribosomal RNA", at positions 103 to 154 of the family's 154-position model. Lineage: Eukaryota; Fungi; Basidiomycota; Agaricomycetes; Agaricales. The record is from RNAcentral.